RNAcentral lists this ribosomal RNA (645 nucleotides) under Triticum aestivum (bread wheat). RNAcentral's name for it is "partial small subunit ribosomal RNA". The record is from RNAcentral. Lineage: Eukaryota; Viridiplantae; Streptophyta; Magnoliopsida; Poales; Poaceae.
AUGCCGAGGAAGCGCAAAGGAGAUGGUGAUGGGAUUGAUGAGGUUCCUUCGAAAAAGGCGAAGUGCCCUCCUCCGCGGAACAGAGCCUCAUCCAGUUCGCUUCUUUUAGCUUGCAAAGACAUGAAUGAUGACAGGAAGGUUGCCAUUGAUGAGAUGGACUUCACAAGCCUUCAGAAUAUCCAGUGUGACCAUCUCUUCAACAAUCUCAGUGUGUGGCUUGCUGAUCUGUACAAUCCCGAUUCCCGUGGGGUGGUCGUACCAGGGCGGGGCAGGCUUCCGGUUAAUGAGGAAUAUGUGCAUCGUGUUAUGGGCGUGCCGCGUGGAGGGGAGGAUGUCCCUUACAACCUCCCUACAGAAGCUGAUGUUGAGUUAGGGCUUGAGUUGUUUGGCGAACUUGGAUAUGCCCCUAAGAUGACUGAUCUUGUUGAUCUCAUAAAGGGUUCUGAAAAUGCUGAUGAUACUUUCAAGCGUAUGUGGCUUUUUCUUGCGGGGAAUACAAUCAUUGCCCCGACCACCUCCAACAAAGUGAGCCCUAGAUGGUAUGCUGUGCUGACGAAGAAGCUGAUAACUCUUGUCCUCAACAAGGAUGUUCAGGCUGACAAAGUUUCUUUCAGGAAACUACCGUUGAAGCCUGAGUUUGCAUGA